RNAcentral lists this ribosomal RNA (790 nucleotides) under uncultured bacterium. Its description in RNAcentral is "bacterial SSU rRNA". It matches the Rfam family "Bacterial small subunit ribosomal RNA", at positions 8 to 795 of the family's 1533-position model. The record is from RNAcentral.
AGAGUUUGAUCCUGGCUCAGAACGAACGCUGGCGGCGUGUCUUAAGCAUGCAAGUCGUGCGGCAAGGCGGGGCAACCCGCCCUAGAGCGGCGGACUGGUGAGUAACGCGUGGGUGAUCUGCCUUUGGGAUGGGGAUAGCCAUUAGAAAUAGUGGGUAAUACCGAAUACGUUCGUCAUGCUGCGGCAUGGCGAGGAAAAGCGCUUCGGCGCUGCCCGAAGAUGAGCCCGCGUCCCAUUAGCUAGUUGGUGAGGUAAAGGCCCACCAAGGCGAUGAUGGGUAGCCGGCCUGAGAGGGUGUACGGCCACACUGGGACUGAGAUACGGCCCAGACUCCUACGGGAGGCAGCAGCUAAGAAUAUUCCGCAAUGGACGAAAGUCUGACGGAGCGACGCCGCGUGGAUGACGAAGGCCGAAAGGUUGUAAAGUCCUUUUGUUGGGGAAGAAUAACCAUGGGAGGGAAUGCCCGUGGGAUGACAUGAACCGACGAAUAAGCCCCGGCUAACUACGUGCCAGCAGCCGCGGUAACACGUAGGGGGCAAGCGUUGUUCGGAAUUACUGGGCGUAAAGGGCAUGUAGGCGGCUUUGUAAGCCCGGCGUGGAAGCCCACGGCUCAACCGUGGGAUUGCGUUGGGAACUGCGAGGCUUGAAUCAUGGAGAGGGAGCUAGAAUUCCUGGUGUAGGGUGAAAUCUGUAGAGAUCAGAAGAAUACCAGUGGCGACGAGCUCCUGGCCAAUGAUUGACGCUAGUGCGAAAGUGUGGGGAUCAAACAGGAUUAGAUACCCUGGUAGUC